Molecule: ribosomal RNA, 358 nt
Filed under: uncultured bacterium
Lineage: Bacteria
Description: partial 16S ribosomal RNA
Rfam family: Bacterial small subunit ribosomal RNA
Source: RNAcentral
CCUACGGGUGGCAGCAGUGAGGAAUAUUGGUCAAUGACCUGAAGGCUGAACCAGCCAUGCCGCGUGAAGGUCAGUGCCCUAUGGGCGUUAAACUUCUUGGGUGCGGGAGCACUAAUGGUCACGUGUGGCCAGACGAGAGUACCGUACGAAUAAGCAUCGGCUAACUCCGUGCCAGCAGCCGCGGUAAUAAGGGGGAUGCAAGCGUUAUCCGGAUGUAUUUGGUUUAACGGGUGCGUAGGCUGGGAGGUAAGUCAGCUGUGAAAUGCCCCCGCUCAACGGGGUGAAGUGUCAUUGAUACUGCCUUGCUGGAAUGCGGAUGCCGUGGGAGGAAUGUGUGGUGUAGCGGUGAAAUGCAUAG